Molecule: ribosomal RNA, 1515 nt
Filed under: metagenome
Description: bacterial SSU rRNA
Rfam family: Bacterial small subunit ribosomal RNA
Source: RNAcentral
AGAGUUUGAUUCUGGCUCAGAACGAACGCUGGCGGCGUGGAUAAGACAUGCAAGUUGGACGAUCACUCUAAGGUAGCAAUAUUUUGGAGUGGGAGUAGCGUAAGGGUGCGUAACACGUGGGUAAUUUACCAUGAAGACUGGGAUAACUCCGAGAAAUCGGAGCUAAUACCGGAUGUGGUUGUCGGAGGGCAUCCUCGGACAAUUGAAGCUGGGGACUGUAAGGCCUAGCACUUCAUGAUAAGCCCGCGGCCUAUCAGCUAGUUGGUGAGGUAAGAGCUCACCAAGGCUAAGACGGGUAGCUGGUCUGAGAGGACGACCAGCCACACUGGAACUGAGAUACGGUCCAGACACCUACGGGUGGCAGCAGUCGAGAAUUUUUCUCAAUGGGCGAAAGCUUGAAGGAGCGACGCCGCGUGGGGGAUGAAGGGCUUCGGCUUGUAAACCCCUGUCAUCUGGGAGCAAACCUUCUCCGCUAAUACCGGAGAAGUUGAUAGUACCGGAAGAGGAAGGGACGGCUAACUCUGUGCCAGCAGCCGCGGUAAUACAGAGGUCCCAAGCGUUGUUCGGAUUCACUGGGCGUAAAGGGUGCGUAGGUGGCGAGGUAAGUUUGAUGUGAAAUCUCCGAGCUCAACUUGGAAAUGGCAUUGAAUACUACUUUGCUUGAGGAUCGGAGGGGAGACUGGAAUUCUCGGUGUAGCGGUGAAAUGCGUAGAUAUCGAGAGGAACACCAGUGGCGAAAGCGAGUCUCUGGACGACUCCUGACACUGAGGCACGAAAGCUAGGGGAGCAAACAGGAUUAGAUACCCUGGUAGUCCUAGCCGUAAACGGUGCACAUUUGCCGUGAGAGGAAUCGACCCCUUUCGUGGCGGAGCUAACGCGUUAAAUGUGCCGCCUGGGAAGUACGGCCGCAAGGUUAAAACUCAAAGAAAUUGACGGGGGCCUGCACAAGCGGUGGAGUAUGUGGCUUAAUUCGAUGCAACGCGAAGAACCUUACCUGGCCUUGACAUGUGAGUAGUAGAAGCCUGAAAGGGUAACGACCCUGCAAGGGGAGCUCAUACAGGUGCUGCAUGGCUGUCGUCAGCUCGUGUCGUGAGAUGUUGGGUUAAGUCCCGCAACGAGCGCAACCCCUGUGUCCUGUUGCCACCCGGACGAGAGUUCGGAGCACUCUGGACAGACUGCCUCGUCCUAACGAGGAGGGAGGUGGGGAUGACGUCAAGUCAGGAUGGCCCUUACGGCCAGGGCUGCACACGUACUACAAUGCCCGGUACAGAAGGAAGCAAGACCGCGAGGUGGAGCAAAUCCCUCAAAACCGGGCUCAGUUCAGAUUGAAGGCUGCAAUUCGCCUUCAUGAAGCUGGAAUCGCUAGUAAUGGCGCAUCAGCUACGGCGCCGUGAAUACGUUCCCAGGCCUUGUACACACCGCCCGUCACAUCAUGAAAGCCGUUUGUACCCAAGUCAGUGAGCUAACCGUAAGGAAGCAGCUGCCGAAGGUAUGAACGGUGAUUGGGAUGAAGUC